RNAcentral lists this ribosomal RNA (470 nucleotides) under Ptychadena cooperi (dark-bellied grass frog). RNAcentral describes it as "partial 16S ribosomal RNA". It matches the Rfam family "Bacterial large subunit ribosomal RNA", at positions 1921 to 2560 of the family's 2925-position model. The record is from RNAcentral. Lineage: Eukaryota; Metazoa; Chordata; Amphibia; Anura; Ptychadenidae.
GAUUCAACGGCCGCGGUACUCUGACCGUGCAAAGGUAGCACAAUCACUUGUUCUUUAAAUGAGGACUAGAAUCAAUGGCAUCACGAGGGUCCCACUGUCUCCUUUUUCUAAUCAGUGAAAUUGAUCUCCUCGUGAAGAAGCGAGGAUAACUUUAUAAGACGAGAAGACCCCAUGGAGCUUAAAACUCAAUAGAUAACCCUACAACCACUAAAUAUUUUGGGGACCUAUCCAUUAGUUUUCGGUUGGGGUGACCGCGGAGAACAACCUAACCUCCGUAAUGAAAAGAAUAAAAUCAUAAUCUAAGAGUUACACCUCUAAGAAUUAAUAAAUUAACUUACAGUGAUCCAAUAUUUUAUUGAUCAAUGGACCAAGUUACCCUGGGGAUAACAGCGCUAUCCACUUCUAGAGUCCAUAUCGCCAAGUGGGUUUACGACCUCGAUGUUGGAUCAGGGUGUCCCAGUGGUGCAGCC